UGCGUAGGCGGCUAAAUAAGUCAGAAGUGAAAGCCUGCGGCUUAACCGUAGAAUUGCUUUUGAUACUGUAUAGCUUGAAUUAGGUUGAGGUUGGCGGAAUGUGACAUGUAGCGGUGAAAUGCAUAGAUAUGUCAUAGAACACCAAUUGCGAAGGCAGCUGACUAGACCUUAAUUGACGCUGAGGCACGAAAGCGUGGGAGCGAACA
Molecule: ribosomal RNA, 206 nt
Filed under: uncultured bacterium
Lineage: Bacteria
Description: partial 16S ribosomal RNA
Rfam family: Bacterial small subunit ribosomal RNA
Source: RNAcentral